RNAcentral lists this transfer RNA (91 nucleotides) under Caloramator sp. Its description in RNAcentral is "tRNA-Ser". It matches the Rfam family "tRNA". Rfam says of the family: Transfer RNA (tRNA) molecules are approximately 80 nucleotides in length. RNAcentral also lists the same sequence under 1 other name. The record is from RNAcentral. Lineage: Bacteria; Bacillati; Bacillota; Clostridia; Eubacteriales; Clostridiaceae.
GGAGAAGUACUCAAGUGGCCGAAGAGGACGGUUUGCUAAACCGUUAGUAGGGGUAACUCUAGCGCGAGUUCGAAUCUCGCCUUCUCCGCCA